AUGAAGCCCUGCACGGUGCUGUUCCUCGUAGCCGUGCUCACCGCGUCGGGCGCGGUGCGCGGGGCGUCCAUGGCAGCGCGCUCGGAGUGCGACCCAUGGGCGCUGCGGCCGUGCGCCCCGGUGAUCCUCUGGAGCGCGCCCCCGUCCAGCGCGUGCUGCGCCAGGCUCCGGGAGCAGAGGCGGUGCCUGUGCAGGUACGCCAGGAACCCCGACCUGGGCAGAUACAUCAACUCCCAGAACAGCAAGGAGGUCGCGGCUGCGUGUCGCGUGCGGGUUCCUAUGUGCUAG
This 288-nucleotide ribosomal RNA is filed under the name Triticum aestivum (bread wheat). RNAcentral's name for it is "partial small subunit ribosomal RNA". The record is from RNAcentral. Lineage: Eukaryota; Viridiplantae; Streptophyta; Magnoliopsida; Poales; Poaceae.